AUAUGGGAAGUUUACUUUCUGUAUUACAGCUAACGCGUUAAACAUUCCGCCUGGGGACUACGGUCGCAAGAUUAAAACUCAAAGGAAUUGACGGGGACCCGCACAAGCGGUGGAGCAUGUGGUUUAAUUCGAUGCAACGCGAAAAACCUUACCACUUCUUGACAUGGAAAUCAUACCUAUUCGAAGGGAUAGGGUCGGUUCGGCCGGAUUUUACACAAGUGUUGCAUGGCUGUCGUCAGCUCGUGUCGUGAGAUGUUGGGUUAAGUCCCG
Molecule: ribosomal RNA, 270 nt
Filed under: uncultured Wolbachia sp.
Lineage: Bacteria; Pseudomonadati; Pseudomonadota; Alphaproteobacteria; Rickettsiales; Anaplasmataceae
Description: partial 16S ribosomal RNA
Rfam family: Bacterial small subunit ribosomal RNA
Source: RNAcentral